This 522-nucleotide ribosomal RNA is filed under the name Centrophorus cf. uyato RC-2022. Its description in RNAcentral is "partial 16S ribosomal RNA". It matches the Rfam family "Bacterial large subunit ribosomal RNA", at positions 1857 to 2572 of the family's 2925-position model. Lineage: Eukaryota; Metazoa; Chordata; Chondrichthyes; Squaliformes; Centrophoridae. The record is from RNAcentral.
GCCUGCCCUGUGACAAUGUUUAACGGCCGCGGUAUUUUGACCGUGCGAAGGUAGCGUAAUCACUUGUCUUUUAAAUGAAGACCUGUAUGAAAGGCAUCACGAGAGUUUAACUGUCUCUAUUUUCUAAUCAAUGAAAUUGAUCUUCUCGUGCAGAAGCGAGAAUAUUACCAUUAGACGAGAAGACCCUAUGGAGCUUCAAACACUUAAAUUAAUUAUGUAAAAUAUAACCCCCCAGGGGAAAAAUCAUUCAUAUAAUAUUCCUAAUUUAACUGUUUUUGGUUGGGGUGACCGAGGGGGAAAGAAAAUCCCCCUUAUCGACUGAGUACUAAGUACUUAAAAAUUAGAACGACAGUUCUGAUUAAUAAAACAUUUACCGAAAAAUGACCCAGAUUUUUCUGAUCAAUGAACCAAGUUACCCUAGGGAUAACAGCGCAAUCCUUUCCCAGAGUCCCUAUCGCCGAAAGGGUUUACGACCUCGAUGUUGGAUCAGGACAUCCUAAUGGUGCAACCGCUAUUAAGGGU